CUCUUGAACGUUGGGAUUGUGGGCGUGUGUCACGAUACUGUGCAUUCGGUGCUGGGUGUGAAAUCCAGGGUGGUCUCCCGUGUAGUAGGCAAGCACUCUACCAAACAAGCCUCAUCCAUAGCCCUGGCCUCGGGUUUAAAAGCCAUUUCCCUACUUUAUGGGGUAUUUUUGCCUGUUUGCAUGUCUGUGUACCACAACAUGCAGGGCCCACUGAAGUCAGAAGAGGCACGGGAGCCCCCGGAAUCAGCGUUAGAGACAGUUGUGAGCUGCCAUGUGGGUGGUGGGAAUUGAACUCAGGACCUCUGGAAGAGUAGUCGGGUGCUCUUAACUGCUGAGCCAUCUCUCCAGCCCACCAACAAGUGUUCUUAACCAACUGUCUCUCAUCUCUAGCUACAGGUUUUAAGUUUGCAGAUCCAAGAGCGGGAGUGUUUGGGGAAAAAAAGGUCAGGGACAGCAAUGCUGUAAUCCCAGCACUUGGGAGGCUCGGGUAGAAAGAUCAGUCACUGUGAGUUUGACUAACGUGUCUCAAAAAAUAGAAAAGAGAACGAGAAACCUGAAAAGGCCAGGUGCGUGCGCACACUUGUAAUCUUGCUUCAGGAAGCCGAGACAGUUAGACAAGUUGGGUUCCAGGGUAGCACAGUUAGACAGUGAGAGCCUGUCACGAAAAGCCUCAAAACUAUAAAAACAACCCCGAAAAAGGAGCUGGAUGUGGAAGAACCCAUCUGUAGUCCAGCCUUUCACAGGUAGAUCUGGGCUAUGAGACCUUGUCUCAAACAAUAAAACCCACCCUUGGGGCUUGGAGCAUGUCUCCCCCCCCCAACCCCCCACCAUCUGGCAGGUCAGGUGGCUGAGACUGUCCUGUAGUUCCAGAGAGGGAUGCUGUGUGGCAUGUGACUAGGGAGCCUUGUUGGGACCUCCUGGGGGGAAAGGGCCACCCAGAGCAGCAAGAAGCACAUGCAGUCACCUCGCUAAAGAAUACUCAUUUAUUUAUAAUUAUUGCUAAGUAAACUUCUCUUUUAAACAGG
RNAcentral lists this long non-coding RNA (1025 nucleotides) under Rattus norvegicus (Norway rat). RNAcentral's name for it is "long non-coding RNA NONRATT002803". Lineage: Eukaryota; Metazoa; Chordata; Mammalia; Rodentia; Muridae. The record is from RNAcentral.